GUCCACGCCGUAAACGAUGCACACUAGAUGACGGGACCUCUGACGGUGCCGCCGUCGUAGCAAAAGUGCUAAGUGUGCCGCCUGGGGAGUACGGCCGCAAGGCUAAAACUCAAAGGAAUUGACGGGGGCUCACACAAGCGGUGGAGCAUGUGGCUUAAUUCGAAGCAACGCGAAGAACCUUACCCGGGUUUGACAUGCAUGGAUGUUUUCCGGUCGAUGAGUUGGAAAUUACCCGCAAGGUGAAACAUGCACAGGUGUUGCACGGCUGUCGU
Molecule: ribosomal RNA, 272 nt
Filed under: uncultured bacterium
Lineage: Bacteria
Description: partial 16S ribosomal RNA
Rfam family: Bacterial small subunit ribosomal RNA
Source: RNAcentral